Lolium perenne is the source of this 2160-nucleotide non-coding RNA. The record is from RefSeq and is a predicted model, not a curated record. NCBI's taxonomy places the organism in Eukaryota, Viridiplantae, Streptophyta, Magnoliopsida, Poales, Poaceae.
GCGCCUCUUUCCUAACUACCCUCACGAUUCUAGCCCUGGCCCGCGCUUCCUCUCGCAUAUCCGAGCUUGACCAAAUCUUCCACGUUCCCACGUUUCCACGACAGUUGCCACAGAUCCCGGCGGCGUCGCGCAGGUUCGGCAUCCCUCUCCGUCUCCCUUCCCUUCCCCGCCCUCCUCCCUCCCUGGCCUGCCUCCUCCCUGUCCCCGCCCUUCUCCCACCUGGCCGCCCCCCUCCCUGGGAGGGUGAACGGCGGCGGCAGCGGCAGCGGCGGCGGACCGAGUGUUCUUAGCCACGUUUUUCUCCAUCGAACCCUCCCGUGUCCUGCCGAUGUCUCCUGCCGGAGCUGCUUCUGCCGUGCAAAUGCAGAUGCCGAUCACCAAAAUCAAAGUGGACCUGGACUGCAGCCCCUUUCACAACAAGAACGAGAAGCUGCUCGGCAGGAUCAGAGAGAAGGGCGAGUUCGUGAUUGACGAGAUCGAGUAUGAUGAGAAGAAAAACAAGGUGAUUGUUACGGGCUUUUCGACGCUGAUAGGCUCGCCAGCAUUGCAAGGUCAUCAAGGGUUUGUCAUCAAGGAGAUCGAGAUCGUCGAGCCGCCGCCCCUGGCGUCGGAGCCACCCAACGAGGAUCCCACGCUGCCGGAGUCUGUCGUUGAGGAGCCGUCGCCGCCAGAAGUCGUGGAGCCGGAGCCCAUGCGCGAGAGACGGAGCCACCAAAGGAGGAGGAGCCCGCGCCCGUCACCGGAGCCGGAGCUGCCCGGUGGCGACAUGCCGCUUGACGUCUCCACUUUGGACACAGCAGCUGCGAGGCGUAUUGCGUGAAGGAGGGGCACCGGCGGCGCGAGACGAGACAAGAACUAUGCGCAGCAGGAUUGUAGUGCGGGUUCAGCUCGGUUGUGGAGAAGGAGGUGAUUGUGGAGGAGGGUAGCUGUGGAAGACAUGGGUGUACACCAUGUCACCAUCACCUUCUGCUUGCUCAUCGCUCUGCUGCUACGGCUUAACAUGUUCUGGAGCUCCAUUACAUCCGCCAGUCCGCCCUUGCUCUUGCUCUUGAAAUAUGCCUGCUGCUCCCUCCCUCGAGAAGUUUAACUAUCUGGCUGAUUGUGGAGGCGAAUCAGGCAUCAGCAUCCUGUUACACAAUGUAUCAACCCAACAACCUGCACACAAAAAAGCUAUUGUUCAUUUUCUCAGGUUGAUGUACAGAUCUUUAGUAAAAACGACAAUAUGAAAUAGUAUGACUAACAUUAGUGCAUGUUUAUAUACAAUUGCCCACUGGAUGGUGAUUCACAGUAUGUCCAAAUCACUCUGUCCAUUAGUCAUUUGUAUCCGGGAACAAAUUGAUUCAGGUUGGUAAUCCCUGAUCCAAAUGGCUAUAUUUUUUUUGUAACACCUCAUAAACAACACCCUGUUUCCUCCCCAUAUGAAAUAUGUACCCUGCAUCGCCUGACAUGGCUGCUAAUUAACUGUGGUUGGUAAACCCUCGUAGUUUACUGAUGUAUAUUCACUCAUUGAUUGUUCCAGAAUUUAUUUGAUUUAAAACUACUGUUGUUUUCAGUUUACAUUUUGUGUUGAUGGAAAUAUCUGGUUGAAUUUAGUCUCUUCUUAACAUUAAAUCUGAAAUUACUAAAAAAUAGACAGUUUUGUUCUUAGAUUGUGUAUGAUUCCACUGCACAAUAGUUGGUUGCUAGGUCGUUUAAUUUAUGUCGAACUGCAGAAAAGAUGUUGCAUUCAUGUCAGAAUCAUUACUACUUCAGACCUUCGGAGGUUUGACAAGCCUGUCAGAUUAUCAAUGGAGCUAGAUAAUGAUCUUAGCAAGGAUAUCUAAUUUAUUAUGAUCCAAGUUUGGAGCACAAGACUAGAGAAAAAGGAUUUCGUACAAAAGGUAUUCAAAGUUAUUCAGGAAGAAGUGUUUGAAGAAGAAUUGCACCUUCUAAACGAUGAAUGGCAAUCAGUAGAUUCUUAUAUUGAAUUGUAGUUUGCCAUACUCAAAAGGUGUGCAUCUGUUUGAUAGCAGCAUCAGAAUUGAACCCUGUACAUGCUUCAUCAUGUUUUUUUACCAAUGGUGGACACCAUAAUAUAUAGAUGUAGUCGUAGCCAUGUUUAUUCCGUUUUGACAUAAAUUCAGUUCUGAAUUGGUACAUACUUUCUCCGACCCAUAAUAA